RNAcentral lists this ribosomal RNA (1081 nucleotides) under uncultured Rhizaria. Its description in RNAcentral is "SSU rRNA". It matches the Rfam family "Eukaryotic small subunit ribosomal RNA", at positions 577 to 1674 of the family's 1831-position model. The record is from RNAcentral.
CGGUAAUUCCAGCUCCAAUAGCGUAUACUAAAGUUGUUGCAGUUAAAAAGCUCGUAGUUGGAUUUCUGCGGGGACGGAGCGGCCGGACGCAACUUGCGUCUCGAGCUAGCGCUUUCCCCGCAUCCUGCCGCGAACCGUGCUACCAUUAGUUUGGUGGCGCUGGGGAUCGGCUCGAUUACUUUGAGAAAAAUAGAGUGUUCAAAGCAGGCCACACGCCUUGAAUAAGUUAGCAUGGAAUAAUGACUAAGGACUUCGGUUCUAUUUUGUUGGUGUUCGGGACUGAAGUAAUGAUUGAUAGGGACAGUUGGGGCGGUCUGUAUUCCAAAGCGAGAGGUGAAAUUCUUAGACCUUCGGAAGACAAACAGCUGCGAAAGCGUUCCGCAAGGAUGUUCCCUUUGAUCAAGAACGAAAGUUGGGGGAUCGAAGACGAUCAGAUACCGUCGUAGUCUCAACUAUAAACUAUACCAGCUAGGGAUCGGUCAACGUUUAAUUAUUCGACUUGAUCGGCACCUUAUGAGAAAUCAAAGCAUCUGGGUUCCGGGGGGAGUAUGGUCGCAAGGCUGAAACUUAAAGGAAUUGACGGAAGGGCACCACCAGCCGUGGAGCCUGUGGCUUAAUUUGACUCAACACGGGAAAACUUACCAGGUCCAGACAUAGUAAGGAUUGACAGAUUGAUAGCUCUUUCUUGAUUCUGUGGGUGGUGGUGCAUGGCCGUUCUUAGUUGGUGGAGUGAUUUGUCUGGUUAAUUCCGUUAACGAACGAGACCCCAGCCUGCUAAAUAGCGCGGCUGAGCUUUGCUCGGUGCGAGCUUCUUAGAGGGACUAUGAUGCGCGAUAGCACAUGGAAGUUUGGGGCAAUAACAGGUCUGUGAUGCCCUUAGAUGUUCUGGGCCGCACACGGGCUACACUGGCGCCUGCAACGAGCAUAUCAGCUGGCCCGAGAGGGUCUUGGCUAAUCUUUUGAACCGGCGCCGUGCUUGGGAUUGACCUUUGCAAUUGUUGGUCAUGCAACGAGGAAUGCCUUGUAAACGCGAGUCAUCAGCUCGCAUUGAAUACGUCCCUGCUCUUUGUACACACCGCCC